RNAcentral lists this ribosomal RNA (253 nucleotides) under uncultured bacterium. RNAcentral describes it as "partial 16S ribosomal RNA". It matches the Rfam family "Bacterial small subunit ribosomal RNA", at positions 524 to 776 of the family's 1533-position model. The record is from RNAcentral.
UACAGAGGUCCCGAGCGUUGUUCGGAUUUAUUGGGCGUAAAGGGUGCGUAGGCGGCGGAGUAAGUUGGGUGUGAAAUCUCGGAGCUUAACUCCGAAACUGCAUUCGAUACUGCCGUGCUUGAGGACUGGAGAGGAGACUGGAAUUUACGGUGUAGCGGUGAAAUGCGUAGAUAUCGUAAGGAAGACCAGUGGCGAAGGCGGGUCUCUGGACAGUUCCUGACGCUGAGGCACGAAGGCCAGGGGAGCAAACGGG